Oenanthe melanoleuca is the source of this 783-nucleotide long non-coding RNA. RefSeq lists it as uncharacterized. The transcript is spliced from 3 exons. The record is from RefSeq and is a predicted model, not a curated record. NCBI's taxonomy places the organism in Eukaryota, Metazoa, Chordata, Aves, Passeriformes, Muscicapidae.
UCCUAUAAUAAUAAUAAAACAUUUUAUUUUUUUUUCCUUUACAUUAAGCUCUGAAUGUGUUGUACUGGCUUCUUGCUAGCAGUAUUUUUCUGGGCAGUGACUUCUGAUCUUGGAGGUGAAAAAGUGCAAAACCUGUCCAUGGACAAAGGCACAACCCAAAUAACUGAGUGUAAGGAGCUGGGUGUGCAAAGAAAACUUUCCUUUAUCUAUUCAAACAGAAGACAGCCAGCUGUAGAGAUUCAUGGUAAAAGAAAAUAUUUUCAAAAUUUGGCUGCAAACGAGAAGCAGAGCACCAGUGCAAUAAAUGAUAAGGAAGGCUGAACAUUUCACAAAAGGAAAACUACCAGAAAGAGUCUGAGGUUUUGACCUCAUCCAGAAGCCUCUGGUUUACUUUACUAAUAAAACUUCCAGCAAAACAGACUUAAUUGUUGAAAUGCUUUUUGGUUUUGAUAGAGCUAUGCAUUCUGCCAAGACAUGGCUGCUGGAUGAGCAAAGACUUCCAAGACAGUCUCUGCAGUAACAGAUGCAGGACAGAAGGCUGGAAGUGACAUGAAGCAUAGAAGGUCCAACCAAAAUUACACAGGGCAGCAGCAGGAAUGAACUUUGAAAAUCCUGAGUGUGACCAAUAGAGGGACAAGCUGGAGCACUUCAGGAAUGACCUGUGAAGAUGAAAUCCUCUGGAACCACUGGUCUUGGUACCAGUUUGGACAGAUGUCACUGCAGAAUAUCUACAGUUUGUCUUUAAAGUAUAUGCAAAGACUUCAUAGGGUGAGGUUUACGAAG